GGAGUGGGCCGGAUGGUCGCUGGCUGGAAUUCCACAGGGUCGCCAUAUCGGCCCACAAAGGGUUCCGGCGAGAGGAAAGUCCGGGCUCCGUAGGGUACGAUGAUGGGUAACGCCCACCGGUCGCGAGGCCAGGGAAAGUGCAACAGAAAGCAAACCGCCUUGCGGGCUCGACGCCCGCCAGGUAAGGGUGAAACGGUGAGGUAAGAGCUCACCAGCAGACCGGGUGACCGGUCUGGCUAGGCAAACCCCAUCGGGAGCAAGGUCAAACAGGGAGCUGUGGAUACGCUGGGUCGCUCAAUCGACCCAGACGUUCCCGCGGGCUGGCCCGGUCCGCCGUCGACUCCCGGGUAGACCGCUUGAGGAGUCGAGUAAUCGGCUUCCUAGAGAAAUGGCCAUCGCCCGUCCAACGACUGUUGGACGGGCACAGAACCCGGCUUACAGGCUCACUCCGAAC
This 454-nucleotide RNase P RNA is filed under the name Pirellulales bacterium. RNAcentral describes it as "RNase P RNA component class A". It matches the Rfam family "Bacterial RNase P class A". From Rfam's summary of the family: Ribonuclease P (RNase P) is a ubiquitous endoribonuclease, found in archaea, bacteria and eukarya as well as chloroplasts and mitochondria. Its best characterised activity is the generation of mature 5'-ends of tRNAs by cleaving the 5'-leader elements of precursor-tRNAs. The record is from RNAcentral. Lineage: Bacteria; Pseudomonadati; Planctomycetota; Planctomycetia; Pirellulales.